UAGCUGAUUCACUUUGUUAUACAGCAAAAACUAUCACACCAUUGUAAAGCAAUUAUACUCCAAUAAAGAUGUUAAGAAAAAAAAACACACAUUUAUUUGAUCCUCACUAUAAUGUCACUUCUGUAAUGUUAGAUAAUGUCACUUCAGUUAUCUAAUACUCACAAUAUAUUUUGAAGUGGGUUUUAAUCUCCGCAUUUCUGUCCGUAAGCAAAUUGAUAUUAGGAGUCGUGUGACAAGGUAUCCAGCAUCCUGCAGCUGGAAGGAGAAGAGCCAGGCUUCAAGCACAGCAGUAUCUGCUCAGAGCCCAUGCUCUUUCCACUCACCACUCACUAGGUGGUGGGGAACCCAGGUCCAGGAUCCCCUCCUCCCCAGGGUGGCUUAGGCACAUGUUGUGAAGAAGAAGAUCUGUGCAGGACUCACCAGGAGCUGACUGUUCAUUGUUAGUUACCCAGCAGGGCAACAGGUCUGUAGCUUCCCCGGGAAGCCCGGAGCUGAGUCAUGUAUUUAUUGCCUUUUUACAGGUCUGGCUGUGUUGCUGCAGCUGCAGCUUGGUAAGCAUCAUGAGUGUCUUUCCUUUUGACAGAGGAGUUUCCACCAUCGGCAAACUUACAUAUUUGAAAAUCUGAGAGAGCUGGAAUCUCCACCUCCUAUAAGACACUUAAAAUUGUUACAAAAAAGAAAGAGAGAAAGGAAAGAAGGAAGGAAGGAAGGAAGAAAAAAAGAGAGAGCUUCCUCAUCUCUACCUCCUACACCCCCGUAUCCACAUUCCUAUGAACUAGAGAUGGGAAUGAGAGUGCUGAGGCUCACGAUGACCCUCGUCAGGGUAAGGAAUUAAGAUAGCAGUACAAUGGGUUAGUUUAGAGUGGACCAGUCUUCAACUCCAUAGAAAUUAGAACUCUUCAGGGAAGGUGGUCCACUUUAUCCUGUAUUUGUUCUGACUCCAUUCCCAGGCCUUUGAGAGGGGAAUUUUAGCUUGUAGUCUUACCUCAGCAAUCUGGGCCUUUCUCAUAUCUUCCUCACACCCCCAGUGUACACAGCUCAUCUAUGUCUUCACCACUAUGGUGUUGGGGUCCAGGGCAGGCCACCCCAAAACAUGCCUCAAUGGCAUAUUGACUAUUUUGAAUUAAAUUUGCUUAAGAAAUGGCUGCUGCAAGAGGCACACUUUGACCCUCCUUUCUGUCUCCCUGAAAGCAGGAAAUAAAUCUCUCAUGUGAAAGGGCCACUCCCUGCAUCUGGAGGUAGAAGGACACCCUUAUCCCCAGAGACAAGGAAUUCAGGACCAAGAAGUCUGCAUAAACAAAUUUUGUUACUUCUUCAUUAGUCUGCUACCCCAAGUGCUCACCCCUUUGUUUUUUUAAAUCUUCACAAGUAAAUGUUUCUUUGUUUAAAAAUGAUAUAUAAACAGUCUUAUUUGGUCACUUUGGAGGUCUGAUUUCUUUGAAACCUCCAUGUUUAUGAAUUAAUUUUUUUGUUUACUCCUGUUAAUAUGUAGUCUGUCAAUUUAAUUAUUAGACCAGCCAAAAGAAUUCAAGAGGGGUAAAGGGGAAAUUUCCCUUCUCCAAGAAUGGUUCAAGAUCAAGAUGUCUCCCAGUGGAGUGAUGAUGCCAUUUACCCCGUGUGCCAGGCCCUCAAGCAGCAACAAACUUCUUUUAAAAUGGAAUUGAGAUGCCAGAAGGGGGAGUUCUCACACAGUACCCCUCAAGGUCAAUAACAGGAAGGACAGUUGCUUAGAGACCCCAACAGGAAGAAUCAUCAUCAGGAAAGAAUCGUCAGUUACAGGACUCAACAGGAAAGAUGUACUUGCAUCUCCUACAGGAAAUGGACUACCCCAGCUACCUGGCCUAUGAGAACCCAUCAUCUCUCUGAACUCCCACUUUCCUCCUUUCCUUCAAAACAACCCCUCCCAACUUCCUCCUUUUUACUCUGUAAAAUAACUUUCUUCUCCUUUGUUGGUUAGAUUUCCCUUGGCUUUUGCUAUAGCCUGCAUAUCCAAAAUUGUAAUUCUUUGCUGUUCCUGAAUAAACCCAUUUUGCUUGAAAA
This is a long non-coding RNA of Aethalodelphis obliquidens (Pacific white-sided dolphin), 2040 nucleotides long. RefSeq lists it as uncharacterized. NCBI's taxonomy places the organism in Eukaryota, Metazoa, Chordata, Mammalia, Artiodactyla, Delphinidae. The transcript has 2 exons. The record is from RefSeq and is a predicted model, not a curated record.